This 310-nucleotide ribosomal RNA is filed under the name uncultured fungus. RNAcentral describes it as "SSU rRNA". It matches the Rfam family "Eukaryotic small subunit ribosomal RNA", at positions 39 to 352 of the family's 1831-position model. The record is from RNAcentral. Lineage: Eukaryota; Fungi.
AAAGAUUAAGCCAUGCAUGUCUAAGUAUAAGCAAUCUAUACAGUGAAACUGCGAAUGGCUCAUUAAAUCAGUUAUCGUUUAUUUGAUAGUACCUUACUACUUGGAUAACCGUGGUAAUUCUAGAGCUAAUACAUGCUAAAAAUCCCGACUUCGGAAGGGAUGUAUUUAUUAGAUUAAAAACCAAUGCCCUCCGGGGCUCACUGGUGAUUCAUGAUAACUUCUCGAAUCGCACGGCCUUGCGCCGGCGAUGGUUCAUUCAAAUUUCUUCCCUAUCAACUUUCGAUGUUUGGGUAUUGGCCAAACAUGGUUG